This 420-nucleotide ribosomal RNA is filed under the name uncultured bacterium. RNAcentral describes it as "bacterial SSU rRNA". It matches the Rfam family "Bacterial small subunit ribosomal RNA", at positions 1029 to 1455 of the family's 1533-position model. The record is from RNAcentral.
GGAACACAGGUGCUGCAUGGCUGUCGUCAGCUCGUGUCGUGAGAUGUUGGGUUAAGUCCCGCAACGAGCGCAACCCUUAUCAUUAGUUGCUACGCAAGGGCACUCUAAUGAGACUGCCGGUGACAAACCGGAGGAAGGUGGGGAUGACGUCAAGUCCUCAUGGCCCUUAUGGGUAGGGCUUCACACGUCAUACAAUGGUCGGUACAGAGGGUUGCCAAGCCGCGAGGUGGAGCCAAUCCCAGAAAGCCGAUCGUAGUCCGGAUUGUUCUCUGCAACUCGAGAGCAUGAAGUCGGAAUCGCUAGUAAUCGCGGAUCAGCAUGUCGCGGUGAAUACGUUCCCGGGUCUUGUACACACCGCCCGUCACACCAUGGGAGUGGAAUCUGGCAGAAGUAGGUAGCCUAACCGCAAGGAGGGCGCUA